GACGAACGCUGGCGGCGUGCUUAACACAUGAAAGUCGAACGGAAAGGCCCUGCUUUUGUGGGGUGCUCGAGUGGCGAACGGGUGAGUAACACGUGAGUAACCUGCCCUUGACUUUGGGAUAACUUCAGGAAACUGGGGCUAAUACCGGAUAGGAGCUCCUGCUGCAUGGUGGGGGUUGGAAAGUUUCGGCGGUUGGGGAUGGACUCGCGGCUUAUCAGCUUGUUGGUGGGGUAGUGGCUUACCAAGGCUUUGACGGGUAGCCGGCCUGAGAGGGUGACCGGCCACAUUGGGACUGAGAUACGGCCCAGACUCCUACGGGAGGCGGCAGUGGGGAAUAUUGCACAAUGGGCGGAAGCCUGAUGCAGCAACGCCGCGUGCGGGAUGACGGCCUUCGGGUUGUAAACCGCUUUCGCCUGUGACGAAGCGUGAGUGACGGUAAUGGGUAAAGAAGCACCGGCUAACUACGUG
Molecule: ribosomal RNA, 468 nt
Filed under: uncultured bacterium
Lineage: Bacteria
Description: partial 16S ribosomal RNA
Rfam family: Bacterial small subunit ribosomal RNA
Source: RNAcentral